Molecule: long non-coding RNA, 423 nt
Filed under: Ananas comosus (pineapple)
Lineage: Eukaryota; Viridiplantae; Streptophyta; Magnoliopsida; Poales; Bromeliaceae
Description: long non-coding RNA (ACOM_LNC006027)
Source: RNAcentral
UUAUUAGAAAACGAUAUCCUUAAUUAAUAUUGAAAAAACUUUAAAUAUUACCCUUAUAGUUUUAUACUUUCUUACUUUAGUAACAUAUGGUUUAAAGUGUAUCAUGUUCGUGCCCUAUUAUUUUAUUUUUCUCUUUUUAUUAUUCUCUAUAUUAAUUUUUUUUUUAUUAAAUCAGUGACAGAAUUAAAAUUAAAGGGUACUAAAAGAAAUAUUCAAUAAACUAUAGAUAGAGUAGAAGUUGACGAAAAGAAAUAAAAUAAAAUUACAGAAUACUAAAUUGAUACAUUUUAAAUUAUAAAAUACUAAAAUGAUAAAGUGCGAAAUCACAGAAAUGGUAUUUGAAAUUUACCUUUUAAUAUUUACAUUCAAAAAAUCCUCCCCAGAUUCUACUUCAUCUCCUUCUCCACCGUCUCUUAAACUAAU